This 585-nucleotide small RNA is filed under the name Pan troglodytes (chimpanzee). RNAcentral describes it as "retained intron". Lineage: Eukaryota; Metazoa; Chordata; Mammalia; Primates; Hominidae. The record is from RNAcentral.
ACUCAGAAGCUUGGACCGCAUCCUAGCCGCCGACUCACACAAGGCAGGUGGGUGAGGAAAUCCAGAGUUGCCAUGGAGAAAAUUUCAGUGUCAGCAUUCUUGCUCCUUGUGGCCCUCUCCUACACUCUGGCCAGAGAUACCACAGUCAAACCUGGAGCCAAAAAGGACACAAAGGACUCUCGACCCAAACUGCCCCAGACCCUCUCCAGAGGUAGGAGUCAGCUUCUUGUUGGCUUCCAACUGCUACUUAAUUGGAAAAGAUUUCCUCUCUCUUGGUGCUUAAACCUGGUUCUAACCUGGUGCCAGGUUAUUUUUGGUUGUGUUCCUUCUAGACUUAUCACUGUUUAUAAUUAUUUCUACUUUCUCCAGGGGUUUUUCUUCUUCUUUAGUAUAGGGUCUAUUAUCCCAGUCUUUACCAUUGCUUUUCAACAGCUUUGGGUCUGAAUUUAUACAAGCUUCAAAUAUACUGAUUCAUUUCAUUCUAGGUUGGGGUGACCAACUCAUCUGGACUCAGACAUAUGAAGAAGCUCUAUAUAAAUCCAAGACAAGGUAAAGAUCAGGAUUACUCAGAGCUCCCUCAAAGCU